Molecule: ribosomal RNA, 645 nt
Filed under: Scolecobasidium sp. 2-14p
Lineage: Eukaryota; Fungi; Ascomycota; Dothideomycetes; Venturiales; Sympoventuriaceae
Description: eukaryotic LSU rRNA
Rfam family: 5.8S ribosomal RNA (bases 235-387)
Source: RNAcentral
GACCAGUUACCCGACCUUUUGUCAUUGUGCGUGGGAGGACGGGAGGAGCGAGAAGCGGAACGGGAGCUGCGCGGGGUUGAAACCCGUACGGGCCGUGCCGUGUGAGCUCUGAACGAACGACCGCGAGCCAUAACUUCGGCGGAAGUGGUAGGCCUUGAUCUGCCCGCCGCCGGCCAGAACGCAAACUCUUGUGAGAAUGUGAAGUCUGAGUGUGAAAACAUAACAUAAAAGCAAAACUUUCAACAACGGAUCUCUUGGCUCUGGCAACGAUGAAGAACGCAGCGAAACGCGAAAGGUAAUGCGAAUUGCAGAAUCAGUGAGUCAUUGAAUCUUUGAACGCACAUUGCGCCUCUCGGUAUUCCGGGAGGCACGCCUGUUCGAGCGCCAUUACAAACUCCAAGCAAAGCUUGAUGUUGGGCGAUGUCCGCUGUUGUGGAUGGACAAGCCUGGAACGUGUGGGCUCCGACGGUGGGACCUCAAGCGUAGCAAGACGAAAGUCACCUCGCUUCUGAUGGGAUCCGCCGAUCGGACGUGCCUUUUUUUGGUCGUCGCUCUUCGAUGAGAGAUGACUAGUCUUGAUAGUUUGGCCUCGAAUCAGGCGGGGAUACCCGCUGAACUUAAGCAUAUCAAUAAGCCGGAGGAAAG